Molecule: ribosomal RNA, 63 nt
Filed under: Phytophthora boehmeriae
Lineage: Eukaryota; Oomycota; Peronosporomycetes; Peronosporales; Peronosporaceae
Description: partial 28S ribosomal RNA
Source: RNAcentral
UUGGACCUGAUAUCAGGCAAGACUACCCGCUGAACUUAAGCAUAUCAAUAAACCGGAAGAAAA